Molecule: ribosomal RNA, 165 nt
Filed under: uncultured bacterium
Lineage: Bacteria
Description: partial 16S rRNA
Rfam family: Bacterial small subunit ribosomal RNA
Source: RNAcentral
UAGGGAAUCUUCCACAAUGGACGCAAGUCUGAUGGAGCAACGCCGCGUGAGUGAAGAAGGUCUUCGGAUACGUAAAACUCUGUUGUUAGAGAAGAACACGAGUGAGAGUAACUGUUCAUUCGAUGACGGUAUCUAACCAGCAAGUCACGGCUAACUACGUGCCAG